RNAcentral lists this long non-coding RNA (1086 nucleotides) under Cyanistes caeruleus (blue tit). Its description in RNAcentral is "lncRNA (ENSCCEG00000020608.1)". Lineage: Eukaryota; Metazoa; Chordata; Aves; Passeriformes; Paridae. The record is from RNAcentral.
CUCACAGAGCUUUCAGAGGCACUUCUUGUUGCCCAGUUUUGAGCACUUGGGAUUUUAAUUUCUUUCCAUGUUUCCAGGAGGCUGAACACAGGAAGGGAAAUUGGACUCCCAGCCCUUUGUGAGAAGGGUUGGGUUCUCCUCCAGCCUCAGUUUGCAGAACACUGAUGGAACCCAGCACAGCUAUGAGGAACCUGGAGAAAUGGUUGUCUUGGACUGUGGAUGCCCCCAGCGAGUUUUGUGAAACACAUCAGAUCAUCAGGAGUUCUGCUUCCCCAAGCCGUGGAAAAUCCAAAACCUGGUGAAAUGUUCCAGCAGACCAAGAGUUUCACCCCAGGUGGGUCCAGCACGGGAGCCACGUUCACCUCAAGGCUCAAUUCUACACAAGGAUUGUUCUUCCAACUCUUCGCUGUGUGCUGGCAAAAUUCCAAGUCAAAAAGUCAUGGAAUGUGUACAGAAUGUUUAGGGACUUUGUAUUCCCUGGUUCCAGAGUUUUUCAGGAUCAAAGCAGCUGCUGGUUGCUCAGAGCAAAGGCUGUUGUUGUUGUUCUUGAUUUGUCACUUCCCAUCUUGGGAACACUUUAAUUCUCCAAACCUAAAGGAACUCAGCUAAAUCAAAUUAAUAGUGGACUUUUAAUACAUUUAAAUGAAAUGGAAGACAAAUUUCUUCAGUGCAGAGAAGAAUCAAACAACUUUCUCUUCAUAGCAUUAGGAACAAUACUUUAAGUUCCUUUUCUGUCAGCUGCCUUUUAAUUAGCAGCACUUCAGCACAGUUCUGACAUGUCAAACCCACCUGGGAUUGUUCUUCAUCUCAAAAAAUGGGUGCUGCAUUUUUCCUGCUCCAGCUGCAACUUUAACUGCUGUAAUCACUUGAUGAGUAACCUCGAUAUUGGGAGUGACAGAGGCCUUUAAUGGUUUAAUAACUCAGAGGAGCCCUGGCUUUUGAGUGAAGUUCAGAAAUGUGCUUUAGAGUUGGAGAGGUUCUCUCCAGAUGAAUACAGGCCAUGGCCUUGAAGGAUGAGGAAAAGCAGCUUAAACAGGGGGACUCUCUGGAGAAAUAAAAUUUGGCUUGGGAUUGUUUAUGUUAGCA